RNAcentral lists this ribosomal RNA (513 nucleotides) under uncultured bacterium. RNAcentral's name for it is "partial 16S ribosomal RNA". It matches the Rfam family "Bacterial small subunit ribosomal RNA", at positions 28 to 523 of the family's 1533-position model. The record is from RNAcentral.
GAUGAACGCUGGCGGCGUGCCUAAUACAUGCAAGUCGAACGCACUGCGAAAGGUGCUUGCACCUUUCAAGUGAGUGGCGAACGGGUGAGUAACACGUGGACAACCUGCCUCAAGGCUGGGGAUAACAUUUGGAAACAGAUGCUAAUACCGAAUAAAACUCAGUGUCGCAUGACACAAAGUUAAAAGGCGCUUUGGCGUCACCUAGAGAUGGAUCCGCGGUGCAUUAGUUAGUUGGUGGGGUAAAGGCCUACCAAGACAAUGAUGCAUAGCCGAGUUGAGAGACUGAUCGGCCACAUUGGGACUGAGACACGGCCCAAACUCCUACGGGAGGCUGCAGUAGGGAAUCUUCCACAAUGGGCGAAAGCCUGAUGGAGCAACGCCGCGUGUGUGAUGAAGGCUUUCGGGUCGUAAAGCACUGUUGUAUGGGAAGAACAGUUAGAAUAGGGAAUGAUUUUAGUUUGACGGUACCAUACCAGAAAGGGACGGCUAAAUACGUGCCAGCCGCCGCAGUAA